This 474-nucleotide long non-coding RNA is filed under the name Ananas comosus (pineapple). Its description in RNAcentral is "long non-coding RNA (ACOM_LNC030145)". Lineage: Eukaryota; Viridiplantae; Streptophyta; Magnoliopsida; Poales; Bromeliaceae. The record is from RNAcentral.
GGAUUUAAUUGCCGUGGCAGGGUUCAUAUUGAAAACUUGCCGGCACAGUCGAAUCAUAAAAAAUACAUAUGUGCCGACAAAUAAUGGCAUAAAAUAUUUUUUUCUUAGCAAUAAAUAUUCUAACAAUUUAUUAUAAAUCUUUAUCAAUCUUUUGAUUUUUUUUGAGAAAAUUACUUAUUGAUUUAAAGAAUAAAAAGUUUUAAGUUAUGUCAUCGGCACGGGGAUCGGCACGGGGAUCGUACCGUACCGAUAUUUUGUUGAUACGAUAUGACAUGAUGGAUACAGCGUGUGCCAAUAGACACUUAAAUUUAUAUCGUAUUAACAUUAAGCCGAAGAAAGAAAAUAAAAGUAGAAAGAUAAAAAUCGUUAAAUAUCUUUUCAACACUAAAAAUUUAUUCAAUAAAAAAAAAUUUUAAAAUUAAAAUACCAUUCAUUUACUCAAAUAAAAUAAAUUAAAAAAUUAGAUAGUAAAAU